AAUCUGUUUGCCUUGAGGUAGUUUAAACUAUAUAGGCCUAGAUAAUAAAUUUAUUUAAUCUGAAAUUGCAUUGAUGUUGUUUUGGUGUUGUGUUUAUGAUACUUACUGCCUUUGACUUUUAUAAUCACAAGUCACAAAAAAAUUGUUGAGUACCUGUGCCUGUUGGUGAACUGUGUUUUAGGCAUUGUGCUACGGUAUAUGGUAUGUAUGAUCAUUUAGAAUUACAUAUUCUGACUUGUCUGCUAAAUUGUGAACUCCAUAAGCAUAGG
RNAcentral lists this long non-coding RNA (269 nucleotides) under Bos taurus (domestic cattle). RNAcentral's name for it is "long non-coding RNA NONBTAT019060". Lineage: Eukaryota; Metazoa; Chordata; Mammalia; Artiodactyla; Bovidae. The record is from RNAcentral.